This 71-nucleotide transfer RNA is filed under the name Pseudozyma flocculosa PF-1. RNAcentral's name for it is "tRNA-Cys (GCA) (tRNA-Cys-GCA-3-1)". It matches the Rfam family "tRNA". From Rfam's summary of the family: Transfer RNA (tRNA) molecules are approximately 80 nucleotides in length. Their secondary structure includes four short double-helical elements and three loops (D, anti-codon, and T loops). Further hydrogen bonds mediate the characteristic L-shaped molecular structure. tRNAs have two regions of fundamental functional importance: the anti-codon, which is responsible for specific mRNA codon recognition, and the 3' end, to which the tRNAs corresponding amino acid is attached (by aminoacyl-tRNA synthetases). tRNAs cope with the degeneracy of the genetic code in two manners: having more than one tRNA (with a specific anti-codon) for a particular amino acid; and 'wobble' base-pairing, i.e. permitting non-standard base-pairing at the 3rd anti-codon position. Lineage: Eukaryota; Fungi; Basidiomycota; Ustilaginomycetes; Ustilaginales; Ustilaginaceae. The record is from RNAcentral.
GGUGGAGGUGGCCUAGCGGCAUGGCGUGAGAUUGCAAACCUUAAGAUCCCGGGUUCGAGUCCCGGCCACCA